CACAUCUUGUGGUGCAUACAGCAUAUUGGCUGUGUAUAUUCAAGAACAAGUUUGAUGGGUUGAUCACAUUCGAGGCUUACAAGCCUAUCAAGAUUAUCAUGGAAAUUGGGGUGUUUGAUAGAUCAAGAUGAGCUUCUUGUGCUGCGUUUCUGCUUUGUUGCUGAAGAUCAAGGCAGUUUUACGGCAAUGUUUUGGCGGUUUUUCUUGGUUAUGGAAGAUUAAGAAGGGAACUUGUAUGACAAUGCACAGGCUAGUUACUAUGAAUAUCUGACUGAGAGGAAGAAGCACCAUGUUCUGAAAGAUGCGAAAGGGUACGUUCAGAACAGAUCAUGAAGUGCUGGUGAAGCUGAAAGCACUGGUGCAUUCGCCUUUUAAAUGCAAAAAACAUGGACAAAGUUCGGCUCCUGUGAUGAUCCUUGUCCAGUGAACACGAACAGUUUCUAUUAUUUGAAACAGGGGGCUCUUUGAGCCUUGUUUGAUCUGCUAGUUACAACAAGAUCAGGCAUGCUCUAUUUUGGCACUGCUUUAGUCUGCAGUUUGUAAUUAGCCUAAGUCUGGCUUCCCAGUUCUUGUUUGUUUGCGGGGUUUUGGUUCUAGUCCCCCCCAUUGUAUUCUUAAAAAAAAAAGGUUUAUUAAUAAUAUGGAGGGACGGGCGGGGGGCUCCCAGAAGUGUAGGUCCCCUCUCCUUCAGGAUUGAGGGUGGACGCUUGCGUCUUGUGACCUUCACUGAGGAGCUAAUCUCGCCUAAUCCUCUAGUAGAAAAA
Molecule: non-coding RNA, 764 nt
Organism: Prunus avium (sweet cherry)
Lineage: Eukaryota; Viridiplantae; Streptophyta; Magnoliopsida; Rosales; Rosaceae
Source: RefSeq, a predicted model, not a curated record